GCGGCGUGGAUUAGGCAUGCAAGUCGAGCGGGAUUCUAUUUUUUCAAUUCUUCGGAAGAGAAGUUUUAGAUGAGAGCGGCGAACGGGUGAGUAAUAUAUGGGUAAUUUGCCUCUUUGUUCGGGAUAGCCAUCGGAAACGAUGAUUAAUACCGGAUGUGUUCAGGUGCUGCAUAGCACCUUAUAUAAAGGCGGGGAUCUUCGGACCUGUCGCAAAGAGAUAAGCCCAUAUCCUAUCAGCUAGUUGGUGAGGUAACGGCUCACCAAGGCUUACGGGUAGCUGGUCUGAGAGGAUGAUCAGCCACACUGGAACUGAGACACGGUCCAGACUCCUACGGGAGGCUGCAGUCGAGAAUCAUUGUCAAUGCACGAAAGUGUGAACAUGCGACGCCGCGUGGAGGAAGACGGCCUUCGGGUUGUAAACUCCUGUCAGCAGGGAGUAAAAAUAGAUUACCUAAUAGGUGUUCUAUUUGAUAGUACCUGCAGAGGAAGUCACGGCUAACUCUGUGCCAGCAGCCGCGGUAAUACAGAGGUGGCGAACGUUGUUCGGAUUUACUGGGCGUAAAGGGUCCGCAGGCGGAUCGGUGUGUCAGAUGUGAAAGCCCACAGCUUAACUGUGGAAUUGCAUUUGAAACUGCCGGUCUUGAGUACUGGAGGGGAGAAGGGAACACUUGGUGUAGCGGUGAAAUGCGUAGAUAUCAAGUGGAACACCGGUGGCGAAGGCGCUUCUCUGGACAGAUACUGACGCUCAUGGACGAAAGUUAGGGUAGCGAAAGGGAUUAGAUACCCCUGUAGUCCUAACCGUAAACGGUGUGCACUAGACGUGGGUGGAUUUACCCCCAUCCGUGUCUGAGCUAACGCAUUAAGUGCACCGCCUGGGGAGUACGGUCGCAAGAUUAAAACUCAAAGGAAUUGACGGGGACCCGCACAAGCGGUGGAGCAUGUGGCUUAAUUCGAUGCAACGCGAAGAACCUUACCUGGACUUGACAUAUAGCUGCAUACGACCUGAAAGGGACGUAGCCUUCGAGGGUGCUAUACAGGUGCUGCAUGGCUGUCGUCAGCUCGUGCCGUGAGGUGUUGGGUUAAGUCCCGCAACGAGCGCAACCCUUGUGUUUAGUUGCCAGCACGUAAUGGUGGGAACUCUAAACAGACUGCUUGUGAAAACAAGAGGAAGGUGGGGAUGACGUCAAGUCAGUAUGGUCCUUAUGUCCAGGGCUGC
This 1216-nucleotide ribosomal RNA is filed under the name metagenome. Its description in RNAcentral is "bacterial SSU rRNA". It matches the Rfam family "Bacterial small subunit ribosomal RNA", at positions 39 to 1217 of the family's 1533-position model. The record is from RNAcentral.